Long non-coding RNA from Salvia miltiorrhiza (redroot sage), 657 nucleotides. RefSeq lists it as uncharacterized. The record is from RefSeq and is a predicted model, not a curated record. The transcript has 2 exons. NCBI's taxonomy places the organism in Eukaryota, Viridiplantae, Streptophyta, Magnoliopsida, Lamiales, Lamiaceae.
GAAGAUCUCAAUCCCAUGAACCUUGUAGUAAUCAAUCUUAUUUUUAAUCGCUUUCAGCAAGUAAUGAUCCCCCACCGAAUUCUCGCACGGCUUCAGUGAUGAGCUCAUCACUAGCAGAACCCUAGACUUAUUCUCAGCGAUGAAAUUGAGGCCGAGCGAGUAAGGCUGAGAUGGAUCGCACUGGAAUUCGGGGACACCGUCGUCCUCAGUCCUUUAGGGUCUUUUUUGUAUCGAACAUGGCGUAGUUGUUGCUCCCGCUCUCCACAUUUCUGCUCGAUUUCAGCUCGGCAGCGGUCUCCACGAGGACACGGCGCAGCUUGGCACGCUUGCGGAUGUGGAAAAGGUCUCGCGGAUCUCAUCGAGAUCCUUCUUCGGCGUGCCGAACUUCCCGGCGCCGAUGUUGGCGCGCAGGACGAUCAGCAUGAGGAAGAGGCAAAGCACCAUCAACUUUCCUUGCGAAAGACGCGGUGAAGCAGUCGCGCAUUGAGCGGGUCGAGAACCCGAUCUAGAAUCGCGAUUCAGGCUCGUCGAUGAGCUGGAAGCGUAGAUUCAGACAGUAGUAAGCAAAAUUCACAAAACUCAUAAUCUUGAAAAUAAGGUUUUUUUGUCUAUUUGUGCUCUCAAAUUUAUCAAUGAAAAGUGGAGAUCGAAAUCUGG